CCUANGGGUGGCAGCAGUCGGGAAUUUUGCUCAAUGGGGGAAACCCUGAAGCAGCAACGCCGCGUGAGGGAUGACGGCCUUCGGGUUGUAAACCUCUUUUGUCAGGGACGAUGAUGACGGUACCUGGCGAAUAAGCCACGGCUAACUACGUGCCAGCAGCCGCGGUAAUACGUAGGUGGCAAGCGUUGUCCGGAUUUACUGGGCGUAAAGAGCGCGCAGGCGGUCUAGUAAGUCGAAUGUGAAAGCCCCUGGCUCAACCAGGGAGGGUCAUUCGAUACUGCUGGACUCGAAGGCAGGAGAGGGAAGCGGAAUUCCCGGUGUAGUGGUGAAAUGCGUAGAUAUCGGGAGGAACACCAGUGGCGAAGGCGGCUUUCUGGCCUGUUCUUGACGCUGAGGCGCGAAAGCUAGGGGAGCAAACGGGAUUAGAUACCCCUNUANUC
Molecule: ribosomal RNA, 440 nt
Filed under: uncultured bacterium
Lineage: Bacteria
Description: bacterial SSU rRNA
Rfam family: Bacterial small subunit ribosomal RNA
Source: RNAcentral